GCAUAUUGGGAUCGGCCGUCCUCACUAGAGGCGUUGUUGUUCUCGUUUGAAGGUGUAAGAGGGGUCAAGUUCAAACCCAACUUAGUAAGUUGACUCGGUGUGUCCGCAAAAACUCAAAUGAAAGAUUAUAAACUCGCUCUUAUCCGCAGUCGCGACUCUUGUUACAAAGGUGGUGGGCAAAGAUAAAAAUGUCAGAGGGGAAGAAACGAGAUACAUCUACGUUUUGGAGAGACACAAACCGAUGAUUUCCCGAGAUGGGCAAAGGUUUUGACGGAGGCAGAAAAUUUGGAGAUACCUGUUAGUCUUGUCCAGUUAAAAGAAAUAAGAAAUUAAAAUAUUAGAAAUAUGGAGCAAUAGUGUAGUUUUCAAGUUUUAAUUUGAGGAAUGGAUACUUUUAAGUUUUUAUUAGUAUUAGGCUAGUUUAUGUGGAAUCAUAUUUUCAUAACCCCAAACUUACACUAGCCUCUUAGAGAGGGACAGAGAUAAAGAGAUAUAUAAUUUAGAGAAAAUAGGCACAAAAAAUAAACGUGGGUCCCAGCAAUAAAAAGGUUACGCGCGCAUAACAACCGAAAACAAUGAAACUCACGCGCGCAGAUUGGCAAAUAAAUUGGGCCAAAUGAGCAAUAUGGGCCUCAAUUUUCGUAAAAACUAUCUAAGCACACUGGGCUAUUCGCAGAAACUCUAAAGGUACCCAACUCAAUACUACCAAAAUACCCAACCCAAUAGUUUAUGUUAAUAUGGCAUGAAAAAAUGUUAUGCGAUGGGAUUAAUUAGAGAUAAUGAAGAUAAAUUGACAGAAAAUAAGAAACAAAAUACCUAAAUCGGAAAUCUUAGUUUCUAAAUCAGAAACCUUAGUUUCCCUUUCGAGAAGAUGAUGAAAUUGAAAGGAAAAUUAUAAGAUGUAGAAGACGACAUCCGUUAGAAUUUAUGAAAACGAGAGAAGAAACAAUAAACUUGUGACUGAACCAACACAAAGAACUUGAUAGAACCUCACCAAAGUGAAUGAAACCGAUUCUAUCAAGGAGAGAAAUAAAUCUAUAUGAGACUGAACCUGAGGAGUAAUACAACACAAUAAGAGUUUUAUAAUCAAGAGAAGGAUCAGAAUCAGUAAUUAGAUUCAUUAUUAAGAGAGAAAUAACAAGAGAACUAGAAAUUGUUCUUUAGUAGAGAAUGAGAAAAGCAAAUGAAUCACUCUUGAAUUACUUAGGAAAGGAAGAAUCCAAGAGUGUAUUUGGCUGCUAUAAGCAGCCCUAAACGUGUUCUUACUUAGUCUACAUUGUGAAUUUAAGACAAGAAUACAAGAGAAAAAUAAGAGAGAAAAUAUCGUGUAAAAUACUUGUGUAUAUUAAGAAGAUUCUUGUGACCAUAUUACAGACAUAUAUAUAGAGAAUUAAACA
This 1397-nucleotide long non-coding RNA is filed under the name Eutrema salsugineum. RNAcentral's name for it is "long non-coding RNA (ESAL_LNC000396)". The record is from RNAcentral. Lineage: Eukaryota; Viridiplantae; Streptophyta; Magnoliopsida; Brassicales; Brassicaceae.